UACAGAAUCAGAGGGUAAGGUUAAGGCGCUUGUCAGGUCAACAGUUUCAUAUGAAUCUCUUUCUUCAGAAGCUUCUAAAUUCCUAUUCUUCCUGUUCUAGGAUCUGUUGCAGAAGAAGGAGCGGGAUUAUAAGCCGAAGAUGGAGCUGGAUCUUAAGCUUCAGAUAGAAAGUAUACCAGAGAGGCGGGAUUAGGAUCUAAAGCAGCAGAAAGUCAGUAGUAAGGUGGUGUUGUGCUCAAUUCCAUUUUCUGCGCUAAUAGGAGGUGGAGUUAUUGUUUCAAGAGCUUGAUCCUCAUAAAGAUCUUCCGCUGGGCCUGGAAAUGAUGUUUUUCACUUCCAUUCUUAAAGGAGAGUUCUCUUUGGCGCUCGAUCAACAGAGUAAGGAGAAGAAAAAGAAGCUGGUAAUUCAGAGCUUAAGUCAUCAUCAGGAUAAGGGUCAACUGCUGGAAAGUAUACAAUAAGUCCGCUGCUGUUGAAGAUGAAGUUACUGGAAAGAAAGUCAACAAGAGAAUCCGCUGUGGAAGGUUCCGUUACUGGAAAGUCAACAAGUUACUUGCACAACAAAGCCAUUCAUUCUGAAUUCCAUUAUGACCACUAUAAGUAAGCGCAUCAAAGCCAGUACUUGCUUCGGCCCCUUCACUUUCCAGAAAGAAGGGAGAACUUUCCAGAAAGAAGGGAUUUGAGUUUGAGUAUAUAAGCAGGGUAGGUAAUCCUCAUUUAGUAUAUGCAAUGAUAGCUAAAUUAAUAACAUAUGUGGGCGAGAUAUAUUUUCAAUUUCAAGGUAUUAAUUGCAGAAUGGAAUUGAAAAGCACCAGAUCCAUACUUAUGAAGUCACAAGACUUGGUCAUAACUUGUUAUAACAAGAACCACUUGAGCUUUGAACUCGCUACCGCCGUGUAUUAACUCGCUACCGCCGAAAGCUUGACUUGCUCAUAUUAUUAUGUACUCAUGUUUCCUCCAACUAAUGAAUUAUGUAGUUCUCUUGCCUUUCUAUGCGUUUGUAUACGUAGCUUGGUCGUUAGCAGUUACUUGGCCGUCUGACUUAGUAGCUUGGUCAUUAUACUAAGCUUGGCCCGGUGUGGCGUCGUGUCGAGUAUGAACAUGGCUUGAAGUUACCUUUAGAAAGAAAGGGCUGCUUUAGCUGCCGUGGAAAAACGCUCUUACCUGCCAGCCCGUCCUUUUAUUCCACAACUGAUUCUUCUGGUUCAGACCCAUUUAUCUAUACGGGUAAACUCGCUGACGCCGAAAGAGCUUACACAGGUCUUCCUUAACUUUACCCUAGGAAUUAGCAAAUUCGGAAAAGUCAUAAGAGAGUCUUUCCUUUCAUUAGGAUAUUCUGGCACAACCUUAUUCCCCGGAAUAGGGUACUUACUUAAUAAUCUGAUUCUAUCUCAAAACCGACUUUAGAUUCUUCCAUUGCUAUCAGCACUAGGACUUUCAGCUGCUAAUAGAAUACUUUAUAUAUCUGGAUCAAGCUCUUCUGUAACAAGAAAAACAAGGGAAUCUGACUUAGUUGCUUUUACCUCUGUUCCUUACUCUGUGGUAACAUUUAGGUUUUUUCUUUCCUAAACUGCUAGGUAGCUCUAUUCUUCCCCUUUGAAAGAAACUGGGGCUUUAGCUUGAAGCUGAUUCCGAUGAUUCCUUGACCUAAUGGGACUGCCUUUGGGGCGUAACAUUCAAAUAUAUGUAAACGGACUUCCUUUCUUUGCGGACGAAUACUGGUCUUGCAGAGCCUCUAACUAACUAUACGCAAGCUCUAGCCCUUCUCUUCCUUACUUUCUCUUUGCAGGCACAAUGAAACUAGGACUUUGAAAGCUUAACUACAUCUGAUUCGGCUCUUUUUUCCUUAUGGGAUUGGUGUACAUACAAGACUGAUUGAGAAGAAUAAUGAGCUGCAAUAAAAGAAUACGAUCUUUCCACAGAGAAGUGAACGACUCCGCAGAUCUUUGAGGUAAGAAGACGGUGCUAGCGAAGUGAAUUAACUGGUUGACUCAAUUUCUAAGAGCGGAGCAGGGGAAGAAAGAGAGAGUUGAUUCUUUUUAUUAUUAAUAAAGCAUAUAGAGCAGCCUUCACCAUUCCAUUAAAGAAAGAAGAUCAUCUCUCUUCCAAUAAAAAGAGAACGCACUGGCUGACGCACAACGUAGUAGUAGUCGCUUGGUGUAGUUACUUGGCUAAUAGUAGUAACUUGGCGCCCCCUUGCAGUUGCUGAUCUACCAGUUGCUUCCGCCAUCUUUCGAGUCCUCUCUUUUUCUUUCCCGACCUCCCCACUCUUAAAGCAUGCUCUCUCGGAUACAAAACAGGAACAGCUUCCUCUUGAUACCCUUACUUUUCGCCAACACCAGCAGGAAUUGAUUAUUCUUACCUAGACCAAUUGAAUAGAAUAGAGGGGCACCCCUCAUCCGCUCAAGUGCGCAACUCUAAACUCGUCACUUUCCCCUUACUCUAAUUGAAAGCCCUUGCGCUAGACUCAGGUACUUAAAUGAAUUCCCGUUGCUGAUUCUUGCUUUAAAACAAACUUAUUACUUGCAAAGCCGUUAUCUUACUUUAUUCUUUUAUUGCCUAAAGCUUAUUCGGUGAGCUCAGUUAGCGAGUUAAUUGCAAGUUAGGAGUAAGGCUUCUAUGAAAGGGUGUGGUGGAGAACAAGCGGCUCUUGGUUCCUAUCUUCAACAAGCAAACGAGCUGUUAGAUUCCAGAAUUCUAUUUGUUUUGCUUGCACUCAAUUCUCUUCUUCAAGUGGAGAGUUUAGAGUCUGGCGCUUCUGGCUUAUAUUAGCUUUGCACUCAAUUCUCUUUGUGAGAGCCAGAACGGAAAGUCGAGGCACCAUAAUUUACCGCCUCGCUAACAAGGAGACUAUACUUAUUGACUUAGCGCUUCCGCCGGUCAAACAUAUCAUUCAAUCUUUCCAGCGCCAUCAAGGGAAAGUAUAUAAUCAAUUGAACUGUUAACUCCCUUCCCGUAAACGACUCCCUUCCUUCUAACCCUGCUUUCAGGCCAUCUUGAGAGCUAAAGUAAAGCAUGAACCUGAACUUGGAAUUUGAUGAUUCUCUGGUCGCCUUGAAUUGAUUUGUUGCUGCCGCACUAAAAUCCAUGUGAUUACGCUGCACCUACUAAACAAGCUAACCGAACAAGCUAACCGCCGAACAAGUAGUUAAGUACGAAUUCCACUCAAACUACAAGAUCUUAAACUGAAUCAGCAGGAUCGAGAUCAGGAUCCGGGUUCGGGUUAAGGUGCCGAGAAGCAUAAGCAAUAUCAGAACUCACUCUUAUAUUUCUAUUGUAUUUUUAUUGUAUAUAAGAACUAACGUGCCCUUAAUUAAUGCCGGCAAUGAGCUUACAAGUCGUCUGUCUGGUGAGGAGAGGUGGAUUCGGGAAACAAUGAAAUACCGGAGGGGUUUUCUCAAAUGUCAGAAUGGAACUAAGUAGUAACACCUCUGCACUAACUUGAAGUAGAAUUCUGCUGUUCGAGACUGUUCUGUUGCUUGUGUCCUUCUAUCAGGCUCCUAUAUUUAUUGCAAUAAUUCUUAAUUGAACUUAGCUUAUACUUAUUCCUAUUCAUAUACUUAUACAGAGUGUGAAGUCAACUCUAAUACUAAUUCGAUUUCUAAGGUACGCUAAAAGAAAGAUUAAGUGAAAGCCAACAAUGAGAGAGAGAGACCCCUAUGGUUAAUUAGGGUAGUUACGCACUUCUUUCUAUGAAACCCCUACCGCUCAUUCUUAUGUUUAUGCCCAUGCCCCCUAAAGUAUAAGUAAUAUAUGCUUGUCUAAUAUAUGCUUGUCUCUGACUCUAUCUAUCUGAUUUUAUGCCCUUAGCUGCUACUUAAUAUCUUUAUUCCGCUGAUUUUAUGCCCUUACCCCUUAGCUGCUACUUAAUAUCUUUAUGGAGCCCUUAACCCUUACCUUUCUACUUACAGCUGCUUCUUUCUGAUCUUGCUUGGUACAGCUUAUUUGUAGUGGGCAUGAGAUUAGCAUUCCGCUUCUAUGGUAGAUGAAACUUCUUCUUCUUGUCCCGCAGUUGGUUGCUCCUUGGUAAACUCCUUACGCUCGCAGGAAUAGAGCAAACUCUGUUCCCUUUCCCUAACUAGCAAGUAUUUACUUCUGCACUUAGUCUUAGUUAUGUCAUAAAAUUCUAUGAAAUUAAGCUUUCCAUCCUGUUGUAGUGGAAGAACCCUUGACUGUGGAAGAGCCUUUGACAGGGCAUAUACUAUUGAAUCUCCUAAAACUCUCCUCUGGCUUACCAUAUUGUAUUACAUAUUCUAAUGCAAUGCGCUAGAUCUACCCCAUAUUCAAUACCGGCACCGUUGUGGUCCAAGUAAACUAAGUAAAUCAUAGGCUUGUGUUGUCGUAUCUUUUGGUGCUAGUGUUGACUACGAUAGAAUAAUAGAAGAAUCCGAGGUUGACUUACCUUCUACCCCCGAGUAUUGGAAUGAAACAAGUAAGUAGCAGUCGGGUCUGGUAUAGUCUCUAAGCUUUCCCUUAUAUUAAAGCAGUCAGCGAGGGAUUAGAUGCGAGGCAGGAGCUCUGUUUCCCGGGGACAAGCAACGACGAGCCAAGUCGACAACACAGAAUAAAACAAGGUAGUGAAAGAAUGCAACUAUCGGAGGGCAACUAUCCCUAGAAUAAGAAUAAGGGACCGGUCUUCCUACAACUACAGAUGAAACUACUCGUAUACUUGUUUAAGUGCUCGUUAAGUCUAGGAAAACUGGGCUACUGCCACCAAGUCCAGUGAAAAGUAUUCGAAUACUGAGGUCGGUUCUACGCUCUACUAACCAUAUCCUGUAUUCUGUGUUUGAUUCCGAGAAGCACUAGUGAAAGUCCGAAAAGCGCCGGUUGUAUCCUUUCCAGUAGUAGCUCCAUCCUUGCUAGCAGUGAUUCGAUUCUAAAUAGUUGUAGGUUAAGCCUGUUACUUACUUGUUUCGUUCUCAUAGGUAGCAGUGUAAGCCCCUGUGUCUACAGUGUAGGUCACCCUAGUUUGAUUCUUUAUGGGGUGCUUUGGGCCUUAUAAGCACUAGUUCAAUCUUUUUCUCAGUCGCUCCAUUCCCUUUUUCUUGUUCGAUUCCUGUUAGUAUUGAUUGAGUUCUCCUCUGACUGUAGUGGGUGAAUUCUUGUUAUCAUCAGUUCUAUUCUAUUCUUGUAUUUGCUCCUGUCACUACUGACUUUGAUUCUGAGUUUCCUGUCUCUGGGCUUAUGACUUACUCCUAACUCUGAUUCUAAAGCUACUGAUUUAAAGCCUUCCACUCCUUUCUUGCAAUCAAGUAUGAAUGACCUGGAUCAUACUACUAUUAUUAUAUUCUUAGAUGCACUAGCCUCGUCUACUAGGGAACCCUAACCCCAUAGGUAUUCUAGUGGUAAUACUAACUACUUGGAGUUAUAUCAAUAAACUACCCAACAAAACGGGAAUUCAAUCACUAACGAGAAGACUUGAAAUCAGAACCAAGAGAACAACUAUAAACUAAGGGCAGCUUUAGAUGGCUACUGCAAAAUCCGAACUCAUAAUAUUGGAACAACCCCCACAUUGCUAGAAUCAAACUAAUCCUUUGGAACUAGUUAAGUAGACUGCCGCCAAUUACUUAAGGGCACUUAGGAUUUCUCUAGUAUGCCAAUACCUUCACUUGGAAUGCGACUAUACUAUUAGUUGAACACUGCCCCAAGGAAUCACGCUCACUACUAUUAGAUUGAAUUACUAACUAUCAGAUUAAGCUACGACUAUGACUAAUGCUAAUCAGGAUUGAGCUAACGCCUAAGAGCCCGCCCUACCUGACUUUUGUUCUAUGUCUACUGAUCCCAAAGCUGACUCCCCUUACUUGUAUACUUGCUUCUUUGCGUUAGUCUACCUCUCUUGACUCUUAUUCUUGGACUCAUGUCAGUGGUAUUCUAUUGAUUGAUGAGAUAUAGCGUAUACUGUAAUAGAAUCCGAACUCACUGAUAAUAAGAAUGCUACUAGCUUUCAUUUCUUUGUUUUACCUAUUGGCCUGUAACUACUUACUUAUAGUAUUUGACUCACUUCUUUCACUCCGCUUUUACUGGCGCUAAUUCGAAUAUUGCCCCUUCCAUGCCUACCUAUGUUUUGUCCCUUCCAUUACUAUGUGCGGGGUUCAGCCUGCCCACCUCUACUGUAUUGAAGUAUUCCCGUACAGCUUUUCGUUCUACCUAUCCGGAUUUGCUUUCUGUAACACUGGGCACUGAUCCUUACUUGGUGCACAAGAGCCUAAAAAUGCUAUGAUCGAUUGCAAGCCUACUCUUCCUCUAUCUCAUUCUCACUAUCCGGUCCCCUAUUCCUUAACUAAUGAACCCAACCCUCGCUUCUUAUGUAACUAUAUUAGAAUAAGAAAAAGCAUUAGAAGUACUCACUGCAGAGUUAAAGCAAAGGAAGUAAGGCUGCAGCUAGGCAUGUUUGUUUCAAAGCAAUGAUCCGUAUCCGCAGUUUUCUUUUCAAUAAAAGCAAGGUAGGGUAUAGCCUUGUUCUCAGUAGUUUUAUUCCCAGCAAGUGGAGAUGAGCCCUCUAUAAGUAAUAGUUUGGUUCGUUCUUGUGCUUAUGAGUUUGAUUACCUCCGAUCUCUUAGAUGAAGGAGUGUUAGAGACAACCGCGGCAGUGAGGUCAGUGAUGUCCGUUUUUGAAAUAGUAGUCGCAGGCUAGGAGAUAGGAAUAUAGGAUUUUACUCAAGGGCGGACUAGUAUAAAGAAGGGACAGUCUCAUAAGCAAUAAAGUGAGCUUUCAUGUUCAGAGCAGUGCGAGAGAAUUCCAGUUUGGUAAGAAGUGAAGCCUUUCAGCUAGUAAAGUAAGCCUAAAAGAAAGAAAAGUCAGAUCUGUAGUGUCGGUGAGCAAGGGCGGAACUCACCUCCUGAGUAUAAGAAUCAAAAGAACGAGUUUCAUCCUGCAUUCUAAGUUUACAGUUCUCAAGUAGUAAGUUGGUUUCCGACUUAUUAGCUUAAUGCUUGGAAGCGCUCGUUGCUUUCUUUUUAUCAGCAGUUCGGUUCCUGGAGUUAAUAGUGAAAGGAAAGCCCCGCGUCCGGGUUAAAGUGUCUCGUUGCUGGUAGGUCCAUUCUUUGGCUUAUGGGCUUAGGUCUGCUACUUCUGGGCGUCGGUCUGUUGGUAGAACAGCUCAUUCUCAUUUCAUUAGUAAAGUUGCAAACCACUCAUUCUCAUCAGAUCAACCACAUCAGUCUCAUCAGAUCAACCACAUCAGCAUAUGUAACGAAACUACUAAACUAUAUUGCAUUGCUUGUAUCAAGGCACGAAGCUACCCCACAGUAUUGCUUGUAUCAAGGCGAAGGGAGGUCAACUCUUGUAUUUGUUUAUAACAAAAAGAAUCGGAGCAGACCCACUAUAUUACUCUGGGCGUACUAAUUCUCUUACUUGACUCUUGCUUUUGAACCAAUGAACUGACUUUGGAAUCUAUUUAUUCUCUGACUUUGCUUCGGAACCAAUUAUUAUAUAACAAUUCAUUAUAUUACAAUUAUUCUCUGACUUUGCUCUUGAAACAAUUCUGCUAUUACUUGGCAACCAAUGAUUCUAUUACUUACUUAGUUGUAAGUUGCUUGUACUUACGGAGUUUCUUUCCUGUGUUUGCCCACCUUGCAUAGAUAUAGAGAACAUCUAUUCUUGUGAGCAGUGGUUCCAUUGUGCAUCGACCACAGACGAGGGCACGGGCAACUGGGCUGGAGGUCGGGAUGCCAAGAUUCAAGGUCAAGUUAGGUAAGAAGGGGGAAGGUCACUUAGUCCUCAAUAAAGCAAGGUCAGCGUCAGCUGCUGGCUCAUUCUGUCAGUAAGUAGAACAAUUCUGAUUCUUCAAAUAGCUAAGCGCAUUCUUCGAGUAACAUAACCAAUUCUCAUAUGUGGGCGGCGCACCUCAGUCUUUUCUUAGCACCAUGAAUUCAGUGAGCGAUCAUUCCACUCUUCUUCAAGUGUGGGGAACCCCAUAGUCUUCGGGUUCUUGGGCGAAACAACAUGCAUUGGGCUCCGUCUUCGUUCGGUCGUGCACCUACAAAUUCUUUGCUAUGGUCCAGCAACUCUGUCUUCGGGCGGAAACAACGAAGGUCUUGGUCGAAACAACGGUCGGUCGUGCACACAAUCAUUCUUCGGGUACCGUAGCUCAUGCAUCAAAGGUUCAUUGGACAUCCUUAGCUUCGGGGGCACUUUGAACAAGACAUCAAACCCAUUCUCUUUUUAGGGUCACUCAGGGUUCGGUAGUAUCUCGUUCAUUGUUCGUUCGGUCGGUCGUGCAUCGAUGGUCCCCGGGCUUAGAAGGUAGUACCUCGUUCAUUGUUCGUUCGGUCGUGCACAAGAGCUAUCGUUCAAUGAAAAACAAUAUCGGUUUUUGGAUCACAAAAGACAAAUAACUUGCUGUUUUUGGACCACUUUAGCUAAUUAACAUAGAAAGACAUUUUAUUAUACGCUAAUUUCAUAAGGCAUUGAAGUAAUAGAUAUCGAAAUGAAAGCAAGGGUAGUAAGCCUGUUUGUCAGUAUAGAGAUUCUUUUGGGUAGUUUGUUUCAAUCUGGUAGUUAGCAGGGGUAGAGUGAAAACAAGGGAAUGGGAAUGCAAUAGGCAACUUGUUUACUCGCUACCGCCAUAAACACAUCAGAAGUUAUAACACAUACGGAACAACUACCUUAUUCGUUUUUUCUUAUGACAGUUGCCUUUUUGUAGUAGCUUGGCCAGGUAUCCCACUCGAAAAAGAAACAGAUCUUAUACCACCCAUAGGCAGAAGAAGUAAGCAAGCUCUUAUAGGCGGGAGAGAGGGAUCCUCCUAUAGUCCGCUCUUAUAGGCGGGAGAAAGGGAUCCGUCAAAGGGUUCUAAUUUCUAAAUGAGAAGAAAACAACAACAAUAACAUAGAGAAUUUGGAAAUCAAUGUGAAAUCAAAGUAGGUGAUUGAGAAAGUAGCUGGUGUGAAAUCAAAGUAGGUGAGAAAGUUGCUGAUGUGAAAGUAGGUGAUUGAGAAAGUAGCAGGAAGACAUGGGAAUAAGGGUAUCAUUUGAAAAGCCUAGACAAACAAGAUAUGCCCUAUUUGCAAGAUGGAACACCUGUUGAUAUGGUCUUCAACCCAUUAGGAGUACCAUCACGAAUGAAUGUGGGACAGAUAUUUGAAUGCGAGCUCUGGUUAGCGGGGUAUCUGCUAAAGAUACAUUAUGGAAUAGCACCUUUUCGGGGUAUCUGCUAAAGAUGCAUUAUGGAAUAGCACCUUUUGAUGAGAGAGAAGAGCCAGAGGCUUAGAGAAACACCCAAGAGAGAAGAGCCAGAGGCUUAGAGAAACCCAACAAGUGUUUUCCUUAUUUGGAUUUCUGAAGCUAGUAAGCAAACAAAUAAUCCAUGGUUUAACCCAACUAUCUGGGAAAAGCAUAAUUCUUUUAUGUAAGAACAGGUUGUUCCAAAGGAUUUCCAUAUUCUAUAAGGAACAGUGCUCUAUUUCUCUUAAGGAAUAAAGUGCGAUAUUUCUCUUUCAUUUAGUAAUUCAUAAAGUAGAUGAGAAAAUCCAAUCCAUGGACGUGGACAUUAUGCACUUGUUACUCCUUAGAGGAAGAGCGAAGCAAAGGGUACAACGAGUAGGAUAAAUGGAAGUUUGGGCUCUAGAGGGAUUUGGUGUUGCUCAUAUUUUACAAGAGAUGCUUACUUAUAAAUCUGAUCAUAUUUUCGCUCAUAAAUAAGUACUUGGUGCUACGGUCAUUGGAGGAAUAGUAUAUAAUCCCGAAGAUGCUCCCUUUUCGAUUGCUCGUUCUAGAACUUAUCUCUUUAUAGCUAUAUUACAGAAGAAUUUCCUUGUAUCUGAGAAGAACUUACUUUUUUAUAGGGAAGGCUAAAUUCAUCAUAAUAUCGAUUCUAUGAUUGACCGGUAUAAACAUCAACAACUUCGAAUUGGACUAGUUUCUCCUCACUCAACAAAUGAAGGCCGAACUCAACUAAGGGCCAACCAAACCUAAUUUGACCUAAUAGAGAGAGAGAUAGUUGGGGAGGUGACAAAGCCCUAUACCAUAUAAUUAGAAGACCUAUAAACCGGUAUAAGACCAAUAAACCAGAAAAAGAUGGAUUGUUUUGCUCUGGGCCCAUACAAAAAUAAGUGGAAUUUAUGCUUGUGGAAUUUCUCGAGUGAUUGGAGCUGAUAAAGAAAGAAGAUCCGAAAUCAUGUGAACAAUGUGGGGUGGAAUGGAAUUAGUGGAUUCUCUGAUACGAAGAUCUCAAAUAAAUAGGGAUACGCAUGUCCUCAUGUGUUGUAUUUGAAACGUAUUCCUAGUCAUAUCUAGAAUCUUUAAGAGAAAAACAAACCCCUUAAGCAAUUAGAAGGCAUAUAGACUCGACUUGAACGGAAACUGGUCAUUCUUAUUAUCUAUCUUCUUUACCUUCCUAAGAUCCUUACUCUCCUCUUUGAGUAGUAACUUGUCUAUGCCCCAUAACUCUACUUUAGAACAGAAACAUCUGCUCUUGCUUCUUUUUCUUCUUCCUCGACCUCAACUAUAACAGAACUAGAACUGUUUUAAGCCUCUGAUCCUUCUCCUUAUCCUUUAGAUUAUAUAGCGGAUUCUCAGGAUUCUUCUCUUGUCGCGACGUGAAUGAAAUCUCUCUAUUGCACCACCGCUUCGAUAUAAGGCUAUUAACCAAACACCGCUUACUUGAAGUAGCUCCAUUAUCGCAAAUACAGUUUUCGUUUCUUUUUGACUUGGUAUAGAUUUAUUUGAGUAAGCUAACACUCCACAAAGGAUUGAAUCUUUCUCGUAUGAUUGACACCUCGCUGCAAACCCUGUAUUGACUUUCUUUCGCUUCCAAGUAAGUAAGAUCUUAUGCCCCACCCAAAGAACAAACGAAACUAUCCUUUCGCACAGCUCGCACAGCUUAUACAGCAGAUUCUGGGCAUUCGGCUUCUAUAUAUCUGAGUCUUGCUUCCGAGCACAUAACAAGAGUUAAGGGAGGAAAGAGUGAAAGGGCUGGUAGAGUUCAGGGAGGAAAGAGUUCACACUUGAGAAAGCUGGGUACCAUGGUGAGAAAGAAAGGUACCUUGGUUAGAAAGAAAGAUGGGUACCAUGUUUAGAAGGGAGGAACUGAUCCCACGGAGGCACUCAUAGGUAAAGAGAGAGGAGUGAAAAGGGAAAAAAAGGGAAGGCAUAAAAAGAUAUACUCGAAUUAAGGAGCCUAGAAAAACACUUAUGACUCAUGGCUCUAUUCUCUAACCGCUGACAUAUUACUUGGUUGUUCCCUUGCUAAGGUUAGCUUGGCUGUUUCCUGUUCUCCAGCUUCAGAUCUUGUUCCAUCUUCUAGUUCUCUACCACUUGCUUUGACUUCGACUGAAGAUGAGUAUUCGGAUCCAAUCCAGCAGAUGCUGAUUCCACUGGCUUAAACUCAUUCUGAAAAAGGAGCUUAUGUAACUCCACCCUCAUUGAUUAACACAAGCAACCGACCCGAACUCGACUCUCAAGUCACUUAUUGUCUUCCCACACCUCCACUAUAGUCACUAUUAACUGAAUUAGGCUCAUCUACUGUUGUUGCUUGGCCCUUCCUAGACUUUGUAUUCCAAGGCUGUUGACAUCAUUUUCUCGCUGAGUAAGCAAUGUCUUUCCCGUUCCGGUACUCAAUCAAAUGUCCUUGCAUUUUGGGCUUCUAAGGUCAUAAAUUGUUAACUGCCUCGACAACAUGUUUAAGGUUCACAGGAAGGACAGAAGUUGGAAAACUACUUGGAGUCAAAGUGGAACUUCCCCACCAGUCUUCAUACCCAUUGAAGUUAGGGCAUAUGGCCGAAAGGAUCAAUGCGUUAUUGGAGGAGUGGAUAUGAAAUAGGAUGUAGGAUGGGAUGGGCUUUCAACAGAAGGAGCUGACCCCUAAGCUAUCUGGAUGGAAAACUUGCCCUAUAACAAACUCUUCCUUAUCAACGGAUCCCUGAAAAAGGAUUGAACUGGAUAUAACGGGGAAUGCAUGAAAAGUAGAAGGCAUGGAACAGCUUCUAUUUCGAUAGUUAGGGGUAUUAUAGUCCGGGACAGAAAUGGUACUCUUUAUAGUACUACCAGUCUAAACUUUCACUAGCAUAUUAUCCAGUGGUACAGUAACUACACGAGAACUGGCUGGCCAUCGAAGGUAAGAGCAAAGGAACAGAACUCGGCUUACAAUAGGAUAUAGAGGGGAUUAGAGAGAGAUAUAUAACGGGCUUGGCUUGCUCAUAUCAUCAAAAAGGGUUUUCUGGCUUUAAGGCUUGAUCACAUCACAGGCCUGCUUGCCCAUAAUGAAAAACACCUCCCGCCUUCCUUGUUCAAGUAGUUAAAGAGUGUUGGGGCUUAGUGAAAUCAAGUUUGUGGAGAAAGAUAUCCUUCCAAGAUGUUCCACCCAGCAACACAACACUAUUCUACGGCUAGAUUUGCGAGACAAGAUGGAAAGCUUACAAUACUCGAUUUGCGAGACAAGAGAGAAAGCUUAGUGAAGUUGUAAGGUGUCUUUGGGGUCAGGUAGUGACUAUAUCAUUUACAUAUCGAACAGAUCUUACUCUCAAUGGACUCAUUGCGAUAUUACCUAGGAACUUCGAGAAUUCCUUUAUUGGUGAAUUUCUACUUUUAGGCUCAUUCUUGGCUAGAUCAUUUGGUUCACUGCGUCCUUUCGACUUUCGUAGCUACGUUCCCAAUAAAAAGCCGUAAUCCUUCCGUCGUCCUGCUAACUCAAAUAUCAAUCAUACCUUACUACCCCGGCAUGCCCUUUAAGGCAAUAAAUACUAGAGCAACCGGCACUACAGCAAGCUUUAUAGAGUAGGGGAGAUAGUCGUCCACCCAAUGCAGUUGCAUACCAAUGCGGAUAUCUGAGAUGAUACUCUAUCCAUGUUUCAUGAAUGUUUUCAAACAUGCAAUCUGCGUCGUAACCAUAGAGACUUCCGAGAAAUGUCAAUCUAAGUGGAAAUUGGAUGGACGUACACGCUCCAUGAGAAAUGCCCUGUACAUUCAAUACAGCUCUGCAGUCAACACUCCAAAAUCGGGAAAUGCUAAUCCAAACUUCAAGGAUAAAGGAAAUAUGCCAUUCUAAGAAAACAUUAAGAAAUAAUGUAGCUUCCAACGUUUAGAUGUCGGAAGACCUUGAUUUUAGUAUACCUUAUCCGAUCCACCGCCUGCCAACUGACUAUAACCGGCACAGUCAAUUGCUCUGAAAACAGGAAAGCUGAAACUCAAGAAGAUAGAGUACGGAGAACCCGAAGGGACACAUCAAGUCUAACCUUAAUAUAUUCUAUUAUAGACCAUAAAGAUCUUAGCGAAUUCUAUAGCACUUACGUUAGGCACUUGUAUUUUUAUAUGGUCCAAACUCUUCCAUAACCAAAAGAUAAUACUUCGCAGAAGACACCUCCACAACAAUAUACCGGCAAAGAGUAGAUCGCUCGACUCGAUAUAGAGUGGAUCUUAAUGAAAGCUCGACUCGAUAUAUUAAUCAAACCUGUAAGCGUCAGUAAGGGGCGUCUUCUUUGCAGUUUUGAUCCAAGUUCUAGCAAGAAUCCGUUUCACUAUUGACUGUCGUGACCCGAACACGCCCUUCUAUAAGGGUCUAUUUUAGGUCCCUGUAAUUCCAAAUACAAGUUCUACUUUUGGAAUAGUGAGAUGGCACAUACUCUUCAGACGCAGCCUCAGCCCCAGAAAGGGCAUCCCCCCAUUCACAUCGUGUGAAGCCAAAUCGUAAGUCUCAGCCAACCGGACAUACCUUAUUUCCCCAAAACAAAGAGUUCCCCACCUCUUUUUCCCAAAGUGGAACCGGAAGCAUAUGAACAAAAUAAAUAGGAUUAGGAUAGAAAAGCAUUAGUAGUGGAAUCAAGGAAUGGUUAGGAUGAAGUUACUGGGCGGAAUCCCUCCAAAUAUAGGUAACGGGACGACGGACAGUGAUAGGUCUUGGUUCUUUGGUUCGGGCGAGUGGAGGAGAUAACUCUUCUUAAUCAAGGGCAUCGGAAGAGGGCGGCCCAAGAGGUAGCAUUUGAUAACGAUCCAUAUCAAUUGGUAUGAGAGCCUACAGUAAUUAAGUCAGGAAGGAAUGAUCGGAAUGUUUCAGAAUCCUAAAGUGCUUUUACGGGGGCCAAAGAUCCGCUUUGUUUCACCAUCGGGAAACAAUAAAGCUACUUUUUGUCGUUUGAGUUUUGAGUCCUUAUGAGCUAUCUCCGUCUGUCCUAAUCCUACUAAACGUUACAAGAGAUAGAGUUUGCUUAGGAGCACUGAAGCUAACUCUUGCCAGCCUUAUUCCGCUCGCUGGGUAAAUGAGCUAUAGAACUCGCUUCCGUCUCAUAAGGUCUUGGUUCGGAUGGAUGAUGGGAAAGGAACGAGACUGGGAUAGCUUGUCUUUGAUGGCUCCUCAUUGGAACCUCGCUAGCCAGCUGGAGAAGGAUUGAGAGUCGGGCAGGAUAAAUGAAAUGGCUGCCUAAUCCUACUACCUUCCAAGUGGUUAGCCCUUCUAGUUUGAUUGAUUAGAAUAGCAGAUCGUGUCAGCUUUGUCUGAACUCAUUUGUAUUCCAUUCCUUUUUAGUGAUGUAACCCUCGGACCAUUCUUUUAGCAGGCGGCCUUUAGACCGAAGAAUCAUAUUGUUGUUCAGACUGUACCGUAGGGGACUUUUUUUCAAAGAUGCUUUUUGAAAUCACCCAUCGAUUCAAGCACUCGUUAUGCCCUAGACUAGAAGGUUUAGGCUUGGACUCUACAAGAAUGACUAAUAUACCACAAACCCGGAGCCUUCUCUAAUUCAACUGAAUCGACUUGAACAAUAACUUAUUCUUCAAUUGAACAAGGGCUACCCACUAAUCUAAUCUCAGUCGAAUGCUCUUGAAGUUGGAGGUUAUAUAGACUACACCAGGGACCAGGGCACGGUAACAAAGGCAAGAAGAGCCGAGAGUAGGGAAAACUAACCCCUUAAUCAGUGAAUACGAAUCCGGAAAGAACUUCGCUACAGAUGAAUGCUUACUUCCUUUUGGUAUUCUUAUAGUUUCUACUAAACUGAUAUGAAACAUAGAAAGGAGACAAAAAACUCAUUGAAACUCUCCCCAUGAUUAAAGUGCUACUGACAUUACCGUCGCUGCUACUAAGGCAGCCUGGAUUCGAUUCGAGUUACCUGGCCCUCGAACUUGAACCUCCUUGAAUAGUGUUCUAGAUAAUGCCAUCAGAGAGCGCUUUCGUAGAAAGUGAGCCAGUGUACCAAGUCCUUGAAAUUAGCCAUUGUAGGCCUCCGCGUUGGCCCAGCCAGCAUAUAACUCAAACUCUUCAUGUGAAUGAAGAAGAAGCCCAGGAAGCUGCAUCCACUUUAGGAUGUCUCACCAGAUUCACCUGCUGCCGAUCUUACAUCAAGCGAUAGUACUGAUAUUUACCGAGUAUGAAGAAUCUCCGCUCAGAUCAUGGUGGGUUAGUCGGCUGGCUUCUUUUUGCAGAAUUCCAAAGUCGGAUAAAUGAAUUAGAUUGAGACUCAUGCGGCCAGAGAUGCAUCCAUCCCUCCCUUACUCUUUCUCCCUUCCUUAUUCUUUUAGUCUACCCUUUGCUUUGCUCUGCAUUUAAUAUCUUCUCUCAUCCCUUCAAUCCUCUGAUUCAGGAUACUAUACUCAAGAAUGAGCUGUGCUUGUAAAGUCAAGUUAAGAGAAAGAAGGGUUUAUUACUGCAAACAAAUCCAAUGGCCCAAGCAUACAAAGUCAAGUUGUUUGUUCUUCCAGUCUUGUUCUAGUGGAAUCGUGAGGAUCUUCUCUGUCGGUCAAGUCUCAAAGAACCAUAGGAGUAUUGAGUAUAUCAAAAGUCAUAUUACCUAACAUCCAGACUAGAGCUAAACAUUGCUUGUUCCAUUGUGCGUUAAGAAGUAACGUGAGCAAGGAAAGGAUAUAAGUCGAAGUACAUUAGCGGGUUCUUUUAAGUGCGUAAGUGAGCUCCGGACUACAGCUAACUGGAGUUUUUGAGUGUAAGGAAAAGAAUGGAAAGCAAAGGAAAGGCGAAGUAAGGAGCAGAGCCAAAUAGGUGUUUUUCUCCUUGAUUGGAGUUUUUGUAAGCAGUGUUCGGUUAAGGCGCAAGUGAGCGGACCUACUUAGAGAACCGGACUGCGGAAGAGAAUUGAGUGAACCUAGGAACUGCGCUUGGAAUAGAAUAUCGGCAGCUAGAGAACCAAUACCACAAGCUGGCUCUGACUAACGCACCAACACGUUCAGAAUGGAAUUGCAAUGAGACUUUCUACCCCUAGCUUUCGAUCUAUCCUUUCUUUAGACGGCUGUACAAGGAGCGUAAGGUAAGCGAGCUACAUCGGCCGGCCGGUCGAGUCGUUUAACGCUUGUUAACUACCCUCAUAGAGGGUGAAGUCUCCGAGUGUAGAGGUAUUACGACGCAAAAGGGGUCGUGUAUAUAGUCUCCCUUUCUGUCCCAACUCAAUAAGCUAAGCGGUCUACUGAAGUAGAUAAUUCCAAAUAGAUAUCAAGUGCACCACCUCUUAUAAAGUAAACAAACGGAAGAAGAAGACAGUGUUUCAACAACUACAGCAAGAGAUCGCGCGAAACUCAACCAGUUUAUUUGACCCUUUAACGAAGCAAUUCUGGAUUCUUGGAUUUGUCAGCGAAAUGCUACUUCACUUUGUUAGUUCAAUUCUGCCUUUAGAGUUUAGUUCGGGAAAGAAGAAAGGUACUUACACUUUGGAAGCUUCAGUAUCGGGUGCGAGUAAGGUAGUCUCAAGAAGAAUAAGGGUUCAAGUAUUCCGUCUAAAGUCAGUAAGCAAGUGGUUCUGUUCGAGAUGAAGGUGAUUUAUUGGCUUUCCCUUGUAGUGGUCGACUCUGGUUGCCCCCGGUAAGAAAUUGAAGGAAGCAAUGCGGUUGACUAACACUUCGUAUAUUGUGCAGAGAGAUUCAAUGAGUGGAACAGGCAAGGGUGUUUGUUAGCUUAUUGUUGCUUGUUUGCUUCAAAACUCUGUUAUUGACCCGAACUCAACGCGAAAGUCCUAUAAAAUACAAACGGAGUACUUAGCGCACCCAAUAGAUACUGUUUCCCGAUCCACGGGUUCCCGCUCUUGGGGCUACGUUGGACCACUACUCUACAAGGGAGGGAGAGCCAAGCACACCGAAGCUAUACACAAGCACCGAACCUAUACACAAGCACCGUUUCCUUGACUGAAUCCAGCUACAAGCACCGAACCUAUACACAAGCACCGAACCCAUAAAUAAUUCACAUAACUCAUGUUAGCACAACAUAUUACAAGACUCACUAACUGUUAGCACAAGUAAAUAAGCCCUUACUCAUGACUCAUAAUUAAGCUAAGCUAGAGGUAAGCCAUUACUGAAUUAAGCUAGAGACAGCCCCUAACUCUAUAUGUAUAGUACUUAAUGGAUUGUAUAGUACUUAAUGGAUUUCCCUUGCUUCUCAUCUUGUUCCUUUGCUUAAGCUAUAACUCUGUCUUUCUCCGCAGCUUGUUCACAUAUGACUCUCGGAGCUUGUUUACUCAACUCCAAUAAAUAGACUGUUUAUUUACUAGCAGCAUUACACUGUGCAGGCCCCUAAAACCACUGCUUACUGCUUACUCUAAGCUCAACCUUAAGCUUCCUUACUCUUACUCUAAGCUCAACAAUGGAAUGGAAUCUACCGAGCACACACCUGAUAGAAUAGAGUAUCCUCACAACACACCUGAUAGAAUAGAGUAUCUUCACAAACAAACGGACUUAUGACUCUAAAACGGACUGACUUAUGGAAUAGAAUGGAGUGCACCCUUUCUUGCCCGUCUUACUUGUUCUUUCGCACACUAACAAAGCACUGAACAAGCAAGCUUAGUGAAAUAGAAUAUAAUAUAAUAUAAGUUAACGGAGUCAUUAUAGCGUUAGCGAGUUAUUACUGCUGCCUCUAAAGAAUAUUCUAUAGUUGUACCCAUCCAUGAUGUAAUCAUAGUAAACCCCACAGCUAACUGCUUAUUUUCUAUUCAUUCCACAGCCUUAUGACUUAUUAUUUUCUAUUCAUUCCCUUCCACAGCGUUGUCACUUCUUAUUAUUUUCUAUUCAUUCCUUUCUAUGGGCUUGCUCCUGUAGCUGGUUCUCUUUCCUUUGGGGCGUGAACGAAUUAGUAAGAAGACCUCUGGAACUAAGAAACACUCCACUCUUCCUUGCCUUUACCGAGAUUAUUACCUUCCGACGCUCUCCCCCCGAGUUGUACUCUUAUGGCCCAACAACAUAAUGCGCGCUAAGUCAAUCAGUCACUUAAGUCAGUUCGAUUCGGUAAGCAAAGCAGUGAAAUGAGAUAAAGAAGCCUUCUGCGUCGGUUAAGCAUAUAAUAGCUGCUCUCGUUAGUAUAAAGAAGCUAGCUCUGCCUCCGCGUUGGUUAAGCAGUUUCAAGGUUCAGUAUCAAAUUAGAGCUCCCCCAAUUAGAUCCUCAUAUGCAAAGCCAAAGGAAAUGAGAUCUUCAUAUGCAAAGUCAAGAGAAAUAGUAACAAGACUGCUGACUGCAGUGAAAUAGGUUGGCUUUCAGCACCUUUAAUAAUAUCGGAUUUUAGACCAUUUCAUGAAAUAUAGGAUUAUAGACAUUCAUUAGUCUAGCGGUAAUAGAAGACUUGGGUCAGUAGGUCAACUAAUAAGGAAGACUUGGGUCAGUAGGCAAACUCCAAAGGAAGAGAAUAGAGUGGAUCAUAUGAGUUUGAGAGCGUGACUAGACUAGAAGUAUGAGUUUGAGAGCGUGACUAGACUAAUAUAGAAAUCCGUCCAAAAUCCACUAUCGUAAAAACACUCCUGUCCUCUGACUGCUUACUCCAAUAAGCGAGAGCGCAACGGCUUGUUACAUCUUUGUUAUGUACCUACUCAGUAAUGUAUGAACCCUACCUAUAUGCAUUGCUUCAAAGCAAACUCAGCGAAUUCAAUUGAAAUGAAUCUCACUCAAAACUAAUAGAAAACAACAAGGUAAUCUAACAACUAAUAGAAACAACAAGGUAAUCUAACAACUAAUAGAAACAACAAGGUAAUCUAACUAAAUGGCUUCCGUAGGCUCUAAAUCAUAUGCAUCUAAACUAGCUGGCCUGGCUCUGCAUUUAUUACUGCUCGCUCAUCACUGAUUACUGUUGGCUUGGCUCUUUCACCUAUUCCAGUUGGCUCUUCAUCACUGAUUACUGCUGGCUCUUCACCUAUUAUUGUUGGUUCAUCACUUAGCGGGCUCAACACCUAUUAAAGCAAACUCUCUUCAGCCUUACGAACUAGACAUUGCACAUUAGGCCAGAGGCAGAGGAACAGAACACUAGCGGCCCCGAAAACAGAAAUGGUUCGGUUGAAAGUGAUGUCGACUUGAAUCCGUUUGUCGAUGAGAAUUAAGCCUUCCUUCUUGCUUGUUAAGGAUCUGCUACUUAGCGAGGAAAUCCUGUUUCUGUUUGAGUGUUGUCUCCGACUACGAGAAAAGAUGCUAGAUCUGUAGUAAGAGAAUCCGCAGCAGCGAGAGGAGAAGCUGUGUUGCCUUGUGUUGGUGCAAGCGGGGGAGUAUAUAAGUCGUAAGUGAGAGUUUCAUCAACCAGAUCAUCUGCAAUUGGAAAGUAAGCUGCUAUGAAAGUUAUUGUCGACUCGAAAGAUGGCGAGAAAGCUGGGUCAGGUGCCUUACUCAAUGCGCGCGGUGUAUUUCAUACUUGUUUCUUUGCUUUGGCUUUGGGUGCUCAGUCUGGGUUUUCAAGGGUUAUGAAAGUCAGUCUGAAGUCAGCAACAAAGCAGAUCUUAGAUAAAGCCAAAUCCCAAAUAUGCAAGCAGCUUGAAUCGAAGAUGAUGGAGGGAAUAAGACAACCACUUAUUAGGAGGAAUCUCGAAGCAGUGAAUGGAGGAAGGCAAGGCUAUAGGAUUGAAUCCAGCCUAGAUGAAAAAAGCCUACUGCUAUCUAUUGAGAAACACACUUUUAGCUUACUACGGAUGGAGACUUCAAAGAGAAAGCUCACUCCACACAAAACGGAUGGAGACUUCAAAGAGAAAGCUCACUCCACACUAUAUAUAUUCGCCUGAACCCAUGGUGAACAUAGCUAACUUCCACUUCUGUGUCAUAUCGCUGGAAAUGUAAACCUUCCACUUCAACACACACCUAGAAGAAAGAUGAGCAGAGACCGGGCAGUUGAAACCGAUUUGGGGGACAGUUGACCUAAGACCUAUUCCCGAUUGCAAAAGGGUACUGUUUAGACUGGUGAGACAGUUAGACAUAUGACCGAAGAGUUGCUAACAAUAACAUAUAAUUGAGACAGUUAGACAUAUGACCGAAGAGUUGCUAACAAUAACAUAUAAUCUAUAUCAUUUCAUUGGAUUAAAUCAAAUAAUGAAAAGAAGGGAAUGCGAUGUGAGAUGGAUAAAGGGAUGGGGAACUGUUCAUACAUCACCCUUGAGGAGAAGUAACCUAUAGUCUGUAGUGAGUACUCAUUAGACCAAGUCUUAGAAGUCACAGCAGGAGUUUCGUCUUGAGGAAGGCCAAACUUAUAAGAUGUGAGAGCCAGGAGUUCAUCUUUGUAGCACUAGGCAUGAGAGGAAAGGAGACAUCUGACAAGGUUUCAUACUAAGUGAGUCUUGAACCAAAAAGCAAAUAAGUCUGAUCCAAAAGAAGAUGUUUACUAUUGUAGACUAGAACAUAUAAGAGAUCCAUACUGCGACUAGAACAUAUAAGAGAUCUAUACUUCCCUUUGUAUUGAAGACCAUAACCAAAGAAAAGACACUCUUUUGACCUAGGUGCAAACACGAUUCUGAAGCAAGCAUACUGAUUUGAAUAAUAAGCACAAGCAAAGAGGCGCAUGAGAGAGAGUAAGUCACAAAAGUCAAACUAUAGGUCGGGAUGGCUACGUUCUCUCUAUCAAGGAUAUAAUUUGCAUCCUUCCCCCCAAGCGUCAACAAUAUCUCUAUAUACCUGCAUGGAAAAUACAGCCCUUAUCAUAAGCCGACUUACGAGCUAGUCUAUAGUGGGCUAUAUCUCUCUAAGAAUAUAAGGCAAAAGGUGUUCCACCGACCAAAUCCAGAGCUUGUUCAUUUCAAUAGUGAAGAAAAUAUGCAAAUGCUCCGCCAUAUUGGUAACCGCCUUAAACCAGUCAAAACUUGCAUGAGCAAGCACGCACUAGAAAUACUUGGGUUUGAUUUCUUUAUUCAUCCUGGCAUGCAACGAAUUGACUUCUUUCUUUAGCCUAUAUCGCUUCUAUCCCGGAAAACGGGGAAAAGCCUUAGACGCUGCGCUAUGCGACCAGUGGGGAGCAGCCGAAAGAGCAACUGCAACAGAAGGAAGCAAUCGUGGACCGGACCUUCUUUUACCUUAUUGAAGCAAUCGUGGACCGGACCUUCUUUUACCUUAUUUCAUAAAAGCCAAGGAAGCCAACGUCCGUUUUGUCAUGGUUCCGGAAGCAAUAGAGGAAUAUUUUCCCAAUCCUAUGAAUUCUCGAAAGACAUCUCCCAAUCUCCGAUUGCCCACGCUCUAUAUCAGAAUUGUUGUAUUAACAAAGGAGCUGAAUGAAAUAUAAGAUGGCUCGUUUCCUUGCGUUGUGUGCCCCCGCUUCUGCUUGCUUUUCUUUGAAUUGUUCUAUUUCUGUCUUUUCUCGUGAUAGUUACUGCUCCACCUUUCGUUUUUAGGAGAAAGGUUCCCCGUGUUUUUAUAAGAGUAUCAUCCUAUCCCUUCUUUUGGGAGGGCCACGGAAACCAUACCCUACUAACCAUACUAUCCGAAUACCAUCCACAGAGGUAGGAAAGGGUGACUCUAUUGACACGGCUUGACUUGAAAGGAGAGAGUUUCGAAGGUAGACCGUGUAGCUCAAUCGAGAGGAAUCAAAUCGAAUAACAGAAUAGAAGCUAGCAGAUGCGAUAGUUGCAACAGAAGAAAUGAGCAAUUGCAAGAGAUUCGCUAUCGCCCGGUAGUGCCUUUUAAAUGGGUUUCAAGUCGAGGGCUAGACGGACUUCUAAGGAAUCUUGUAAUCAUUCUCCUCGAGCAGGCAGAUCCAUACUUUUAUCACCCAGGUUAACGAGAACUACAUAAAGAAGGUUGCAUACGGUCCUUUCGACCUAUAGGAGGUUUGGAUACAAGUUUGCGUUUCCAGCUUUAUGACGAUGUCAGACCUUGAUCUAGUUUCCGUUGUCAUUGCCAUCCUUUGAGCAAACAAAUAGAUAGGCAGUAGACUAAGGAAUGAAGGGAAUACACCGAUUGGAAUUCCUUUUCUGGUACCAUUCCCCACAGCUGCUGCAUCUGAUGCCUGUCUCGGUUCGGUUAGCGAAGCUGGUGUGUAGUGACUCGUUGGGACUCUGGGCUAUCAGAGUGGGGCAUUCCACAUGGGAGGAAGGGGAAGUUUGCCUGGGCUCUGCCGCGCAACACACACUAAGUUGAAGCUCUUGCCGCCGAACACAGGACUUAGUAGUUCCUUGGCUGAUAGCUAAUAGUAGCCGGACCAGAGUUAGAUUAGAUGAGCAAGAGGUGUAGUUAGGCGAAAUUAGGACUUUGAAAUAACACGUUCUAAUUGAUUUCUGACUUGCUAUGUGCUCUGGAGCCUAAUUCAGCAAGUACGAAUUUCACUCCCUUAGCGAAAAGGAGGACAAACUCUCUAAAGGAAGAAACAGAAUCUGGUCCAGGUAAAGUUUCAGUGGAAUCCCUAGAUUGGGUAGUGACAGACCCUAACUUCAACAUGGGCAUUGCAAGUAUGAGAUAUUUACUUAACCCCGGGGGCAGGGCUCUGGACUGCAAGACAAGAUAGUAGGGUUGAAGCAAACACAAGUACGGCUGUGAUCCCUCCUCGCACAUAAGGCUUGGGCUACACAAAGUAUCAUUCUGGAAAUCCGGUUUUUCUCUCGUCUUCCCUUGUUUCGUUCUUUUGUUUGUUGCGCGUUUUUCUUCUUUUGAGUAUUGGUUGACCCGCUAGGUGCUUAACUGACUAUUCUGGGUUCCAUUCUUGUUAGCAGCAGUUAUAGCCUAUUUGACGGCUGCUCUAUUCUAAUAACUAGUAGUUGGAUGCACUGGACCGUAUCCGUAUUCCUAUGUCCUAGCUCAGUUCCUGUCAGCAGUGAUUUGAUCCUUACUAUAGCAGUGGGUUUAGUUUCACAGUUCGUAGUGGAAUUCCUGUUAGUAUUGAUUGAUUCCCCUUUGCCAGUUAAGGUAUUGUAUUGGAGGCCCUAGUAUAAGUAUGAGUUCCGAGCCUUAUGCUUGUCCGUAUUAGCUCAAGGUAGAGUUAUGUGGUUAAGUAUGGUAGGCGGUAGGGGGCUUGGUCGGAGUGGGUUCAAUUACUAGUUAGCACCAGAGGUCUUAGAAACACUAGUGGAUUUCUUUAUUAGGAUUAGAAGCACUAAGGGAAGAGUGAAAGAUAGGAUAGUUAGAGUUAGAGCAAGAAAAGGUAGGCUCAAACUAAUACAAGUCAGGAUCCAAUGCCGUAUUACAGGAAUGGAAGACAUUAGGGGUAUAGUUAGUAGUUGAAGAGUGAAAUAGAUAGACAGACCUCUGGAAACUGCUUCUCAUCGUUCUCCUGCUAAUUAAGUAGAUCCUUCUCUCGCAUCUGAUCUCGUCUCCUUUCCGUUAGCGCCGAGGAAAACUUAUUAGCUAGAAGCUCUGGUUCAUAUAGGUUAAACAAUGAGAAAGAUUAAGUGACAGCCAACACCGAGUGGAGUAGUGUCAUUAUAUAAGCGGGAGGACGUUGCUUGCUCAUAGCAUCGAUCGUAUAGAAAAGUCUAAUAUUACCACACGCACACUAUCAGAUUGCUUAGUAUCUCCAUCCCCAUCUUCUCUCGGAGACAACACUCGAACAGAAACAUCAUUAACAAGCAAAGCUUCUGAUCUUAUCGACUUGGGCCGAUCACCUCCUUAUGCUUCUCGACUCUAACCUCUCCAUACUGAUUUACUUAGGUAGGGCUAGGGCAUCAAAGGCUGUCGAACCCCAAAGAGUAGAUUCUACCAAUAGGGUGGAUUCCACCAAUAAGGUUGAUUCUACCAAUAAGGUUGAUUCUACAUAUGGAUCUUGGUAAACAAACGACUUCUCUUUUGCUUCAAAGCUAAUACAAUACCUUCACCCGGCCUUAUAGUAAUUCGCGUUAGCACAAAAGAAGAAACCGGGAAUGGAACAAGCGCCAACAGAGACUUUCCUGCUCCGGCUACUGAUUACCUAGCUCUAUAUCUGGGCUCUCCCUUAGAAGAUUCUUCCUCGACCUAAACUCUCAAGUGAGAACUACUUCAUUGAAUAUCUCACGAUUCCACUCGAACAGUCCCUUUCAUUUCAACCCUGCCGCGACACCCGAACACAUCUUCAGUAAUAACCACUAAUAAAUAUACUACAUGUAAGUUGAUUAUUCUAGUUUGAUUUGAGUGUCUUGGCUGAGUGAAAGGCUGACUUUAGUAGUUUCAUCCCCUUGUUACCAAUCCUAGGAAAGAAAUUAGUUGAAGCAGAAUCGAAAUUCUUAUAUACCGAUAAUGCCCAAUUCCAAUCACCCGUUAAAAGAAAGGGAGAUGGAAGGGAUUUCAAAUGGGUAUAGGUUGGCUGAGAGAGAGAGAGCACAGAUGAGGGUAGAGGGCUGCGGACAUAGAAAGAAAAAAGGGCAGCCACUAGAGAGGAAAGAGGAUAGCGGAAAGAGAACAAUGAUAUAGGGUACAGGGUGGAACAAUGAUAUAGUCUGGGGCAGCUCACAGAGAAAGCAGAUGAUAGGGCACCCGACAGAGAACAAAGGUCUUUUCGAAAGGAAAGGAAAGUGGAAGUCCAGAGAAAAGCAGAGAUAGAGAGAGGGCGGGUAAUCAAGAGAAGAGAUAGAGGUUCGUCGUUCAUGGCGUUAGUCCAAUGUUAAUAUCAAACCUCCUGUUUACCUUCCCUUGUUUCAUCUAUUAAGUCGACAUCGACAAGAUCUGUAUAUGAGGCAGCAAGCGGGUGGUAAUAUUCCUCUACCAUGGAUACUUUAGCUCGAAAGAGUGGAAUCAGUUCCUAAAGUUUCACAGGAGCAGUUUCAUCAGUUAGUAGAGCAGGAGCAGAAAUCCAGGAUAGUUCUUUAGCUAAGCAAGAAGGAGUGAAGUCAACCACCCUUGUUUCAUCCCGAGUUGCCAGUACAGGCCCAACAGAAUAAGUUAUGCCAGUGGAAUACCAAGUGGAAUCCGUUCUAUUAUAUAAGAUGUCAUUUACAAAAGAUCAGUGGUCUAGCUUUGUUUCAAUUGAAAGAGAAAGAAAGGGCAGGGAAAACUCCUUAGCAACUAGGCCUUAGCAACAAGUAUUGAUUUGACUCCGCGCUUCCAAGACUAUUGAACUCAUAAGAAACAACAGUAAGGGAAUGGAUAUGACCAAUAGCAACAAGGCAUCUAAGACAACUCAGUAUAUAACUUCACUCCUUAGCUACAUUGCUUCCAAGACUAUUUCAUAAGCCACUAAUAGGCAAGUCAGUAUUAACUCAGUAGCUACAGAAGCAACUAAUAGGCAAGAAAGAAUAUAGCUACUUAGUAUCCAUAGCAACAAGGCCUUAGAUAGCUCUUACUGAGCACUGGUAUAGAAACUACGUAAAUACUGGCAAACUGGCCUAUAGAGUUCACUGCUCGCCAACUAAUCUAGGUCUUCUUUUUGAUCCUCUUUCUCCCAUGCUUCCUGUAUGACCAAUCCUUUUCUGGUUUGACUUAUGGUUUGUAUGGCAGCUACCACUGUACCUCCAUUAAUCUUAAGGGUUACCUUCUUCUCUACAAUGUAGUAUUUACUAUCAUCACCCUAACCCCGCGGAGAGUCGAUCCACUCUUCUAGCUUGGAGGUUUCCUUCUGUGUGUAUGUUAAGUCCAAAUUGUUAGACACCUUUCACCCUUCUAUAUGAGCUUGUACCGGCCAUGCCGCAUAAUAUGCCAUGGCUUUCAGCUCCUCUAAGUCAACUCCUUGAGUAUCCUGCUCAGUGAGUUUAAGCCAUGCUUGGGUGUCAUCGGUUGCCUUCUCCGGCAUGAGCCCAAUACUGAAAGGUCUCCACUGCCUCUGGUAAGUAUGAAUUCACUUCCAUAGCAUCCCCUCUUCUUUCGGCAGCUCUAUCUUAAACUGCUUGGUGCUUUUUAGAGGUACGAAGGCAAAUUCGAAGAGUGAUAGGUUCUCACCGUAUGCACGAUCUACUGGUUCCUAUGCAAGACGAUUGGAGCACACUUGAUCUAUACCCCCCUGAGUGUUAAAGUGUAUGUACUCAUGAACAGCUAAAGCGCUCUUGGCUACCUUGCAAGCAACUACUGCUUUAAAGCUUUGUUUACUAUCAGUAGUGAGUAUUGCCCUAUCGCCCGGCUCUAUUAGUCUCUCUUCAUCUCCGAGUUCAUAUGCUUUCCUCAUUUCGUCGAUUAUUCGUGGAGGGUUUUCUUUCCUUAUGCGCAUCUGUAUCCUGGCAUACUCCUCAUUAUAUCCAAUGGGAAUGCUUUUGGCCUGCUCCCACUGCACCCCUUUCUGGGCGAGCCUCCUCUGUAUGCAUCCCCACUGCGUUGCAAUGAUCCUUUCCGGCUUUAAUGAGGGUAUCCAGCUGGUGAACCGUAACCUCAUGAAUCUUUCGUGUCUCAGCGUGAUAUGCUCUUUGGCUACAAUAAUACUAAAACACUGUAGAGCUUUAUCUAUCCGUUGAGCUAUUUCUUAUCUAGUUAUUGCAGUUCUCUCCUUGUUGGCAUCAGCUCUGGAUAAGGUUAAUCAAUUAUACUUCCUGAAAUUGGACUUCUUAGGAGUUUUAUCCGCAGAGUUGUUCAUUGCCUGCACAUCUUCUGUUCUUCUGAGCUGGUCUACUACACAAGUUAUUGAGCUGCUUUCCUGCGGCAGCUCUCGCGUGAUAUUCCCCUCGUUACAAUUGGUAGGCUCGUUUUACUUACUUUGUUGACUUACUUGUUAGGGUCGGGGAAAUUAGUAGAUUCCCACUUGAGAGAAAGAGUACUGUACUAGGCUCAGUGUUACCGGAUUGGAUGGAUUCUAUCUUACCUGCUUGUGAGUGGAAUUCUUAGGGUUAGAUCAGAUCCCUUAGUUUCACAUUCCAUUCUCAAUUCCUUAUUUAGGGAAAGAGCAUGUAGGUUAGGAAGAAAGAGCGAGCAAGCAACGAAACGGUCAGUGCUUAAAGAGUUUAGGUUUGAAAUAAGUCCUAAUUCCGCAAGUCCUGUUUUUCGCCAAAACAGUGUAGGGCCCUGCGUAGCGAUCACUGAACGAUUGAUUCCAAUUAGAAUUAGACUCUUUCAUUAUGAUGGAUUAUUAUACUCUUCAUUAUGAUAGAAUAUUCUGGGUUCUUGGAUUAUAUAGAUGGUGGUAACAAUGAAGCGGAUUCUGAAUCUUCACCUUUAAAAACAGUGGUUUAGACCUUACACGGACCUUCAUGCCGCAUCUCAUCUAUGGCUUAGUCUAGUCCUUACUAUCUUCCUUUCCCUCUUGAGUUUCAAUGCUCAGCUAGAUUUCCACGUGAAGCCGUGCUAUACGGGUCAAAUUCCAGAAAGACUGGAAGGAAAUAGGAUUGAAGACAAUCAUCACGGUGUUUUAGAAAUACUAUUUCAAUUGACGUCUAUUAGAAAGAAAUACUAUUUCAAUUGACGUCUAAUAAAGGAAAAAGAAAAAGGAACUUUGACCGCUAGGAGAAAGGUAGCUCGACUGUGACAGCGGCAGCAGAGGUUUUUCUAUGAGUGAGUACCCGGGGGUUGGAUCCAUGCAGUCGAAGAUCACUUAGAUUAGGACUGCUUCAAUUGGAGACAAAGUAUCUUUACAAGGAACCUUAUUCUUCAAUCGGCUGGAUCAACAUCGAAUCACUGAGUAGUUACCACUGGGCCGACAUCAUAUUCUAACGGUAUGCUUCCUGAUGAAGAGCAGCGCUCGCUUUCAUAAUGAAUGAGACUAAAAGAAAGGAGCUCUGGACUCAAACUCUUUAAGCGGAGGCAAAUAGUCGAACAGGUUCGCAUGCAUAGAUCCCCAGCUAACUCCAAAGAAGACCUAGUAAUUAGUUCAUCAAUUCUUAGAGAAAUUCAAGGUAUAGGCUCCAUCCGAAAAACACUCUUUCUUUCAUUAAUGGCAAUGCAACUCCAUGGGCUUACCCUUGAUGAUGCUUAUGCAAUUGAAGAACGAGCUCAAGAUAUCGAUAUCUUAGAUAGGAUAGCAACUCCCAUGUAAUUGGUUGAAUGUGCCAAGACGGGAACUAGUGGUCUGCUUGCCAAGCCUGUAGCAAGUGGGCCUGUGAUGCUUACUUUCAGAAUGUAACUAGUAGGUACAAGGCUUGAACCGGGCAGCUAAGGUCUCUAACAACUAACUCUAAGCCUGAAAGCAAGGGUAGCCAGUAAGGGUAUCUAUUCUCUGAUGAGCUAGGAGAACUAAGCCUAGGAAUAAGGAAUUGAAGAGCUACCGAGCGACUACUAGAGUGGAAAGGUCACUUUAGUGCUAGUCUAGUCAAGUUGACAUAGGUAUUAAUGAAGCAACUAAGAAUAGGGUAUGAUAAGAGGGAUAGAUCUAGCUACUAUUAGCAUUUUGAUAAAAGAGGAAAUGGGGCAAGAGUGAAAAGAGACUUACUGUUCUAGGUAAAGUAUCAAGUUUCGUUCCAGCAGGUAAGCAGUGAGUUUCAAAGGUGUUAGGUAUAGAAUGAGUCAAUAUUCUCACUUACAUAUAUAAACAAGCAUGAAAUGAAAUGCGGAUGGUUAGGAUGCUGGCGCUAAUGACUAAGGCUUUCGGGGCCCUUAUUGUAAGUUUGCUCAAACAAAAGCAGUAGGGUCGAACAAAUGACUUUUGGAUGGGUAGGCUCGGGAAGCAGUUCAUAGUUUACAGAGAGGAGCAAGAUCAGAGGAAUCUUAGGGAUCAGUAUAAGUAGAAUGCAAUGCAGCAGGAUCAAUCAGGUCCAGACUAAGCUGAAAGAGAAGGGUACACAUAUAGCGCAUGAAACUAUCAAGUCAGAAUUGAGUAUUGAACGGAAACUCUCUAAUUAAGGAAUACACCUAAACCCUCUGUUCCCGUUAGCCCGGAAUUAGAUGGAACUGAUUUCACUGAUGUUAAUGGCGGUAGCAUAAGUAGGAAGUAGCCAAGCAACGACUAAGUCCUUUGUUAGAGGCUUUGAAGCGGGUAUCUCGGGCGAAAGUAAGCUACCGGGCGAAAGUCUGCUACCAUUGCAAAUAAGACCGACCCUGCUAACUCGGAAUACAGAUGCAGAAUGAACUGUUCUGGUUCUAAAGUCUGGUGAGGAGAGGUAAGCUAUGAAAUUGUAGUGGAGAGUAGCUAGCCUUAUUCUUGUUGGUAGAAUAGAAGUAUAGAGGUCGGGGCGGGGAAGUAGGAAUAAGAGAAGAGUCGAGGUAGUCAAGCUAGUCCAGAGGCGAGGUCGGAAAGUGUAGUUUCGAGUAGCUAGUCCUGUAGUGGGCGAGAGGGUAGUUGACUUACCGGUAGUGAACUAAAGAAUAGUGUGGACUAAGUAGAGGCCAGGUCAGGUCGAGUGGAAGACCUGUAGUACUGUUCUGGUUCUAAAGUAAGGUCUAGGUCCGAAAGUAAGAUAGAGUUAGUUCGGGUCGGCUGGUUUACUUACUUGUUAGGGGCACUGGUUUCGGUCUGUCCAGCACUGGUUAGAGACCCUAACUUCAUGAAGAUUGGCUGUGGAUUCAGUUGUUUUCUUAUAUAUAAUGAACCGCCAAGACACUACUAAUGUGGCGCGGUAGCGAGCGGGAAAGCGUCAGCAAUAAAUAAGUAGUUAUAACAUAGUUAUAACCAAGUCCUUAAUCCAGCAUGGCGGUAGCGCUGUUCUCCCUCCAAAGAAGGGCUCAGGGUUACAGCCGCGGAAAGAAGCCCAACUCCAUUAAUGUGCCCAGCUGCGCCAGUCUAAAGUAUAAUGCUACUUAAGCGUGUGGUGACUCCUCCUUCAUUUCUAUCAUAUUUGAACUUAUUGAACUUAUUCAUAACUAUUAAGGACUGUGACUUUAACACAUGAACUCUUUCUAACGCACCCCGAACUCCCUUUAACAGACAGAGACCUUUUGUCCUGCUCGAGCUUUGUAGUAAAGUGGAGUUUUGUACUGUUUCAAGUGAAGUAUAAAGAAGACAGAAUGCGAAUGCCCAGCUUAAUGCUAAAGGCCCCUACUUACUUAAUACGCAAAGAAAUAAGUGUUCUCAUAGAUAGAAGAAGCGGUUAAGGCCCACUACAUGCUUCAUGCUAAAGUAUCAAGGAACGGUUGCAAAGCAAAGGGAAGGUAAGGGAAGGGAAGGUAAAGCCAAGCACUACAAGGGGCUUAAGAAGGACAGCCAUCAUCAAAGUCAAGUUCAAAAGAAAAAGGUUAGAGCUGCUCCGUUAGCGCAAGUCAGGUCAACAGAGAUGAAAUAUAUGAACAAUUCAAUGAGAACUUUCGAGUGGAGAGUCCUGAGUUAAGGGAAUAAUAAAGCGCAAGCAAGUCAGCAACAAACGGUUUGGUUUGAAUGGAGUACACAGUUUUCGUUUUGUCAACGAGAUCAUCAGUUGUGCGGUAUCCAAAGUGUCUUACGCGAGUCCUUAUUUAGACAAAAGCAUUUCAACAUUAGGGGGCUUUAUAGGGAAUUAGACAUAAGAAGAGUUUUACAUGGGUGUUACGACGAGAAUGGCCAUAUUGUCUUUCUUUCUGUUCGAGGGAAGUCGUAGAGAGAAGAAUCCGCUGCUCCUCACGCGCUUGUUAAAGAUGCAAAUGCCUAUAACGGUAUAGAAGAAAUAAGUAAUAGGAUACCAAGAUUGAUUCUCUUUUCACAGUCAUAUGAUACCAAACCCAUGAUUCUAUUUGAGUGAAAAACGAAGAUGCCAUCGAUUCUUAAAAGCCGAGAAUAAGCGGUUCUUGUGUUGGCAACGAGAGAAGAAUAGCCGGUGCGAGGAAAGGAAACUCUAGAAUGGAAUUUACAACUAGUACGGACGCCAUGUUUCAUUGGAAAACUCCUCCUCUGGCAAAUGACUGAUUGCAACUAGGAACCAAUCGGACUUGAAACUUGCAAUAUAGUAGGGGAGCGCAUUAACCACAAAGCAAAGUAGUAGCUUGUUCAGUGCAAAGUCCAAAGUGAGAAUCGAAUUGAAACUAAUCUAUCUCGCAACUCAUCUAUCUCCGCAACUAAUAGAAUUGCUCUAUCUAACCUCAAAGCUAGUUCUUUCGCCGCUGCUUGUUGAAUCCUCAAUGCUUCCAUUUUGUCCGUCUAUACCAAACCUCAUUGCGCUUGUUCCGUAGCUUGGACCACAACACUACAAGGUGAAGGUUAGGCUUGAACUAAAUCUUUCUAGUCGUUUAACUUAUGCCUAUGCCUCUGUUCCACUCCUACUAAGCAAAGCGCUAAUAAAUAGAAUAGCUCACUUCAGUUCAGGGGAUAGAAUAGCUCACUUCAGUUCAUGGGUCAAAGGCAAAACAAGGUCUUUGCGAACCCUUAGCUUAGUGCCAGCUCUUGGGCAAACAAAGUAAUCUCCAGUAAGAAAAGAAUGACAUAAAGAAGAAUAAGUAAACAUAGUAUAGAAAGAAAAAGGUAAUAUAACUCUCCAGGACAACCGCUACGUCCCUUUCUUUUGCUUCAAAACGACACACCCACCGUUUGACUUGAAUAGAAGAUUCGGCACCCGUUAAAGUGCACUUAGUCUUUAGAACUUCCUAACACGCGAGCUACUUAACCCGGGGUUGCUUGUUCAUCUCGCACACAGGAAUUUCAACACCACUCUGUUAGCGCAACUCAUUCAUCUCAAUUGGACUUUCUCGCCUAGUAAAUAAGAUAUGAUGAUUUUGAGGAAUAUCUCUGAUGAAUCUUACUUGCGCCUGCAUCCUUACUGACCCGACCUUAACUCUAUCACUUGUUCUUGCACCGCUAUCCCAAUAGACUAUCCAGAUGGAGCUUGCCAUUCCUAUGUCUUUACUUACCGCCUGCCUUAUCUAAGUCAUUCCCAUCCGACAUUCCUAUGUCUUUACUGCUUUAUAUAAGUAAUUCCCGUCCGACAUUCCUAUGUCUUUACUGCCAGAGAUCGGAACCUAACUAUCCAAACUCUAAGUGUUGGAGGGAAUGAAAUGAUCGAGUAAAAGCUGUUUAGCGGUGGAAGUAGGCUUGUAAUAACUUAGUCGUGUCCUCUUGCUCGUGAGCUUGGCACAGGUUGCUCUUAUUGAGGGGAAGGGCUUUGAAGCGGGG
This 31921-nucleotide long non-coding RNA is filed under the name Musa acuminata (dwarf banana). Its description in RNAcentral is "long non-coding RNA (MACU_LNC007479)". Lineage: Eukaryota; Viridiplantae; Streptophyta; Magnoliopsida; Zingiberales; Musaceae. The record is from RNAcentral.